RNAcentral lists this ribosomal RNA (441 nucleotides) under uncultured bacterium. Its description in RNAcentral is "partial 16S ribosomal RNA". It matches the Rfam family "Bacterial small subunit ribosomal RNA", at positions 338 to 795 of the family's 1533-position model. The record is from RNAcentral.
CCUACGGGUGGCUGCAGUGGGGGAUAUUGCACAAUGGGGGGAACCCUGAUGCAGCGACGCAGCGUGGGUGAAGGAGUGCUUCGGCAUGUAAAGCCCUAUCGGCAGGGAAGAAGAAAGACGGUACCUGACUAAGAAGCACCGGCUAAAUACGUGCCAGCAGCCGCGGUAAUACGUAGGGGGCGAGCGUUAUCCGGAUGCACGGGGUGUAAAGGGAGCGUAGACGGCCAUGCAAGCCAGGGGUGAAAGCCCGGGGCUCAACCCCGGGACUGCACUUGGUACUGUGCGGCUAGAGUGCGGGAGAGGCAGGCGGAAUUCCUGGUGUAGCGGUGAAAUGCGUAGAUAUCAGGAGGAACACCGGCGGCGAAGGCGGCCUGCUGAACCGCGACUGACGUUGAGGCUCGAAAGCGUGGGGAGCGAACAGGAUUAGAUACCCCUGUAGUC